AGAGUUUGAUCAUGGCUCAGAACGAACGCUGGCGGCAUGCCUAACACAUGCAAGUCGAACGCUAUUUAUAGAGUGGCGCACGGGUGAGUAACGCGUGGGAACCUGCCUUUUUCUGCGGGAUAACGGUUGGAAACGACCGCUAAUACCGCAUACGCCCUACGGGGGAAAGGUCCGCCGGAGAAAGAGGGGCCCGCGUCUGAUUAGCUAGUUGGUAGGGUAAUGGCCUACCAAGGCGACGAUCAGUAGCUGGUCUGAGAGGAUGAUCAGCCACACUGGGACUGAGACACGGCCCAGACUCCUACGGGAGGCAGCAGUGGGGAAUAUUGGACAAUGGGGGCAACCCUGAUCCAGCAAUGCCGCGUGUGUGAUGAAGGCCUUAGGGUUGUAAAGCACUUUCACUGGUGAAGAUGAUGACGGUAACCAGAGAAGAAGCCCCGGCUAACUUCGUGCCAGCAGCCGCGGUAAUACGAAGGGGGCGAGCGUUGUUCGGAAUUACUGGGCGUAAAGGGCGCGUAGGCGGUCUUUUAAGUUAGGCGUGAAAGCCCCGGGCUCAACCUGGGAACUGCGCUUAAUACUGGAAGACUAG
RNAcentral lists this ribosomal RNA (586 nucleotides) under uncultured Alphaproteobacteria bacterium. Its description in RNAcentral is "bacterial SSU rRNA". It matches the Rfam family "Bacterial small subunit ribosomal RNA", at positions 8 to 644 of the family's 1533-position model. Lineage: Bacteria; Pseudomonadati; Pseudomonadota; Alphaproteobacteria. The record is from RNAcentral.